RNAcentral lists this ribosomal RNA (460 nucleotides) under uncultured bacterium. Its description in RNAcentral is "partial 16S ribosomal RNA". It matches the Rfam family "Bacterial small subunit ribosomal RNA", at positions 28 to 507 of the family's 1533-position model. The record is from RNAcentral.
GACGAACGCUGGCGGCGUGCUUAACACAUGCAAGUCGAGCGGUAAGGCCUCUUCGGGGGUACACGAGCGGCGAACGGGUGAGUAACACGUGGGUGACCUGCCCUCAGCUCUGGGAUAAGCCUGGGAAACUGGGUCUAAUACCGGAUAUGACCUUUCCUCGCAUGGGGUUUGGUGGAAAGUUUUUUCGGCUGGGGAUGGGCCCGCGGCCUAUCAGCUUGUUGGUGGGGUGAUGGCCUACCAAGGCGACGACGGGUAGCCGGCCUGAGAGGGCGACCGGCCACACUGGGACUGAGACACGGCCCAGACUCCUACGGGAGGCAGCAGUGGGGAAUAUUGCGCAAUGGGCGGAAGCCUGACGCAGCGACGCCGCGUGGGGGAUGACGGCCCUCGGGUUGUAAACCUCUUUCGACCCCGACGAAUUUGGACGGUAGGGGUAGAAGAAGCGCCGGCCAACUACGUG